UUUUUUUUUUUUUUUUUUGUCUUUUUUGAGGGCUGCACAAGUGGCAUAUGGAGUUUCCCAGACUAGGGGUCGAAUUGGAGCUACAGCUGCUGGCCUAUGCCACAGCCACAGCAGCAGGGGGUCUGAGCCUCAUCAGCAACCAACACCACAGCUCACGGCGACACCAGAUACUUAAUCCACUGAGCAAAGCCAGGGAUCAAACCCUGCAUCCUUGUGGAUACUGGUGGGGUUUGUUAACCACUGAGCCAUGACAAGAACUCCCCCACCCCUGCAUCUUUCAAAUCUCCAAUGUCUUGGGAUAAUUUUUAUUGGAAUUUGGGGUUCCAUGUCAGUCCCCAUACCGUGAUAGGGAUAUGCUAUGGAUGCUUAACCAUUCACCUAUUGGAAGGGGGUUUUAUUCCUUAAAGUUGGGGGGGUAACAACGUGGGGUCCGGAGAGGUGUGGUCUCCCAUUGGCCUUAUUCAGUUCCCCAUAUCAGUCCUUGUCCAGUAGAGUCUUAGGGGUGGAAAUGUCCUGUAAGUCUCAUAGUUUCUUUGUCCUUCCAAUAAACUGAGGCACAGGGGAUUAGGGAUUACUGUCCAUCUGGGCGUAGGUUCACUCCCUAUAGUAAACAAGGCGUGUGGGGGUGUUACUCCCUGGAGCCUUUAAGCCACAAAUGUUAAUCAGUGGCCCCAUCAAAGAAGGGGGGAAGCCCAUGCUCCUACACGGACUCCCUGAGUUAGAAUUCUGUAUCAGUUACAUCUUAAUGGUACAAUCACUGAAACCUGGACAUCAGUAUUGUUGCAAUGCUAAGGAAAUUACAACCCACCAAAGUGAUAGGAAAAUUUCCAUAAACCUAAAACAUUUGAACAUUCAGCAGCUGCAAGCAAGAAACCUUUCUACCUGAAUUUAAACAAAGCCUCCUGAAAGUACAUCUGCCAGCAUGAAGAAACUUUGUCUUUUCUGCUGUAAAUCUGUCAGUCGUCAGUUAUUCCCAGCCUCCUUUCCAACCCCUACCAUUAGAACCAAGUCCACAGUCAAGGUAGGGAUUGAUAUAGUCAAGGCAAAGAGCUCUUUUUUCACAAGCAUUACUUAGAACGAGGAAAGGAAUUCUGUUACAAGUUAAGUUUCCCCCACUCCUUUCCCUGCCUCUUUGGUGAUGUGACCUUGCUUAGUUUCUCAUACCUCCUAAAGUGUGGCCUGAUUUAAAAAAAGAAAAAAAAAAAAAAAAAAAAAAAAAAAAUUUUUUGAACUAUUUUGCAACCCAAAAGAGGGAAUGAGGGAGGAUACCUCUAGGUCCUAAUGUGGAAUAUCUCCAGAAAGUAUAGGGUACAGAGGAUGCCACCUUUUAGAAGGCCCAGGAGGAAAAUAAGCAACUAUAUUUCUAUUUGAUUACACUCAUAUGUGAAGAAUACCACAAUAAUAUAAGAUGAUAAAGGCUUUCUAAGAUACAUGAGCUCUAGCUGAUAGCUUAUAUAAGCCAUAUAAGCUUUUUAAGAUGUAAGCUCCUCUAUGGGGGAGGUUGAAAGUGGCCUGGAUGGGGACAGGACCACGGCUUUUUUCAGCAUAGUUACCAGUUCAAAACAAAAAAAGUUUUAAGUCAGACAUGUGCAGGCAUGAUGGAAGGGGAGCAGGGAUCCUUUAUCUUGGUGGCUUUUGAAAGUUUUUACUCUCCCACGUUGCCGAAACUCGGCUUCUGUCCACUGGUACCAAGUAGAAAUGCGGAGACAAGAGUUUUGGAUGAAGGAGGAAAAAAUAGCUUUAUUGCUUUGCCAGACAAAGGAGGGUCACAGCCGGCUAAUGCCCUAAAGACUGUCGUGUGUGUCCUCCCUCUUUGGGAGCAAAUGGGAGGUGGUUUUAUAGUUUGGGAGUAGAAAAUAGGGUCACUGAUGAGGAUCAGGGUAGAAGCAAGCGUGCAUUGUUUUUCAAAGCUGAUGUUUAGGUGGUCCCAGCGUUGAUUCUGAUGCUCCUUCUUUUGGAAUGAAGAGUGCUACAUUGACAUCUUCCAUUUGUUAGGGUUUUGGCUCUGUGGGAGAACUCAAAGAUAUAUUAGGAGGAACCUGGAUCCUGCCCGGAGGCUGCACUCUUGUCUCUGGACAGCCCCUUCCCGAUCUCUGCAUCCCCUCCCUUCCCUGAGGAGCAACUGUUUGAACCUGCCCUUUGGACCUCAGGAAAGUUCAGGGAGGCUGAAUGAAGCCUGUUUCCUGAAAAAGAAAUGGGGGACACAGACAAGGCUUGUUCCCAGGAGACCCCAGGGCCCUGCUCAGUUACAUCCAGAGUCAAGCAUGUGAACUGCAGGGUCCAGCCCGGAUGACACAUUAGAAAUGCAGAAGCUCAGGCAUCAUCCUGAGCCUGCUNNNNNNNNNNNNNNNNNNUGAACCAGAGUCUGGGUUGGUGGGCCUGAAAUACUUCUCUUCUUACCUGAGCUCCCCGAGGUGAUCUGGGUGCUAAGAGUGACAUCCCCUGAUUUAAAUCUCAGGAGCAUUCAUGUCAAAGACACUAACAGAGUCAUUGGGAAAAAUUUCCAGGAUAAGCCAGUUCUUUAGUUUAAUUAUGUGUAACUGUAUUUGGUAGUCAGGCUUUGAAGAAAUCAUAAAACUGUCUGUAGUGUGAUGCUGCACGUAUUAUUUAAGACCUAGAGCUAGCAUUUUUAAAAACAAUCCUACUUUGAAAACCCAAAGAACACGUGGUUUGGGCAUUUAUGCAUUUUUAAAAGUCUUAGUGUCAAAAUUUUUAUUAUCAAAUAUUUCUAAUAACACAGAAGAGUGUGGGAAAAAAAUAACUGGUACCCAUUUACACACAACCCACAUUUGCUAUUUUUUAAAAAGAAAUGCAACCAUUCUGCAUGAACCCUGCACUCCCACAAAGGUCACCUGCACCCGGGGCCCCAGUGGCGAGGCCAGGUAUGGAUCACGGCACUGGAGACCAGACAAAACGUAGCUGAUAUCACCUGGUUUAUUAUACACAGUUAGCACCCAACACAGGUUAGUCGAAGCAGGGAAACUAGAAAAGGGGGUAACAAGUCCUCCCAGGAGAAGCCCAGGAGGGAGGCGUCUUGGCGCAAGUGGCUGUCCUGGUCCAGGAUGCGUCUCCAGAAAAAGUGGGGGAACGCUGUCUUCCGCUCCAGCAGGGCCUCCGACAGCAUCCUCCUGCGCCAGCUCAGCAGCACAGAGUCGGGUUGAACAGCUGAGAGCCUUCGAGUCUCCUCAGUGUUCUUUCUAAGGCUUCUCCCUGUCCAUGUAAUGGUUACAGCCCAGGGGAUCUUGUCUCCAUCAGUUGGUUCUUCUCUUCACGGAUGUCUUUCCUCAGACUGCACCAAACAAAUUCCUUACCACUUAAUUUAUCACCCUAAGAAGCUGGGUGUCCACAUUGUCCUCUGUGACUCCAUCUUGAAUUACUUAGUGCACCUUAACUUCUGUGAGUUUCCCACGAGAUGAGUGGGGAUCAUAACACAAAAGAAAUCAUAGUGAAACCGCACUCCUGAAGCCGAAGCGUAUGCUUCCUGUUUAUGUUUUUAAACUACAUCAGUGUGUGUCAGUGAGAAUGUAUACUAGAAUCUGGUGUGUUUUUAAGGAGUACAUAAAUGCUCUCUGCCUAAACAAGUCCGUUUGCAGAUAGCUUUCUGUGCUUACUAUUAUAUUUAUUAUACAUUAUGGAUAAAUCCUAGUCUACUUUAACUGCUGCAAAAUAAUUCGAUUCAAGGGAGUUCCUGUCAUGGCUCAAUGGUUAACAUAUGAGCAUCCAUGAGGACGCAGGUUUUAUCCCUGGCCUUGCUCAGUGGGUUAAGGAUCUGGCAUUGCUGUGAGCUGUGGUGUAGGUCGCAGACACGGCUCAGAUCCCGCGUUGCUGUUGCUGUGGCUCUGGCGUAGGCUGGUGGCUACAGCUCCGAUUGGACCCCUAGCCUGGGAACCUCCAUAUGCCACCAGUGUGGCCCCAAAAGACAAAAAACAAAAAAAAA
RNAcentral lists this long non-coding RNA (3937 nucleotides) under Sus scrofa (pig). Its description in RNAcentral is "lncRNA (ENSSSCG00005026359.1)". The record is from RNAcentral. Lineage: Eukaryota; Metazoa; Chordata; Mammalia; Artiodactyla; Suidae.